This 468-nucleotide ribosomal RNA is filed under the name uncultured bacterium. RNAcentral's name for it is "partial 16S ribosomal RNA". It matches the Rfam family "Bacterial small subunit ribosomal RNA", at positions 28 to 507 of the family's 1533-position model. The record is from RNAcentral.
GACGAACGCUGGCGGCGUGCUUAACACAUGCAAGUCGAACGGAAAGGCCCUGCUUUUGUGGGGCGCUCGAGUGGGGAACGGGUGAGUAACACGCGAGUAACCUGUCCUUGACUGUGGGAUAACACUAGGAAACUGGGGCUAAUACCGCAUAGGAGAUCCUGCUGCAUGGGGGGGGAUGGAAAGAUUCGGCGGUUGGGGAUGGACUCGCGGCUUAUCAGCUUGUUGGUGGGGUAGUGGCUUACCAAGGUUUCGACGGGUAGCCGGCCUGAGAGGGUGACCGGCCACCAUAGGACUGAGAGACGGCCCAGUCUCCUACGGGAGGCAGUAGGGGGGAACAUUGCACAAUGGGCGGAAGCCUGAUGCAGCAACGCUGCGUGCGGGAUGACGGCCUUCGGGUUGUAAACCGCUUUCGCCGGUGACGUAGCGUGCGUGACGGUAAUGGGUAAGAAAGCACCGGCUAACUACGUG